This 433-nucleotide ribosomal RNA is filed under the name uncultured bacterium. RNAcentral's name for it is "bacterial SSU rRNA". It matches the Rfam family "Bacterial small subunit ribosomal RNA", at positions 594 to 1024 of the family's 1533-position model. The record is from RNAcentral.
GUGAAAACUCACAGCUUAACUGUGGGCGUGCGGGCGAUACGGGCAGACUAGAGUACUGCAGGGGAGACUGGAAUUCCUGGUGUAGCGGUGGAAUGCGCAGAUAUCAGGAGGAACACCAGUGGUGAAGGCGGGUCUCUGGGCAGUAACUGACGCUGAGGAGCGAAAGCGUGGGGAGCGAACAGGAUUAGAUACCCUGGUAGUCCACGCCGUAAACGGUGGGUACUAGGUGUGGGUUUCCUUCCUUGGGAUCCGUGCCGUAGCUAACGCAUUAAGUACCCCGCCUGGGGAGUACGGCCGCAAGGCUAAAACUCAAAGGAAUUGACGGGGGCCCGCACAAGCGGCGGAGCAUGUGGAUUAAUUCGAUGCAACGCGAAGAACCUUACCUGGGUUUGACAUGCACAGGACGCCGGCAGAGAUGUCGGUUCCCUUGUGG